This 484-nucleotide ribosomal RNA is filed under the name uncultured bacterium. RNAcentral's name for it is "partial 16S ribosomal RNA". It matches the Rfam family "Bacterial small subunit ribosomal RNA", at positions 28 to 507 of the family's 1533-position model. The record is from RNAcentral.
AUUGAACGCUGGCGGCAUGCUUUACACAUGCAAGUCGAACGGCAGCGCGGGCUUCGGCCUGGCGGCGAGUGGCGAACGGGUGAGUAAUGCAUCGGAACGUGCCCAGUAGUGGGGGAUAGCCCGGCGAAAGCCGGAUUAAUACCGCAUACGACCUGAGGGUGAAAGCGGGGGACCGAAAGGCCUCGCGCUAUUGGAGCGGCCGAUGUCGGAUUAGCUAGUUGGUGGGGUAAAGGCUUACCAAGGCGACGAUCCGUAGCUGGUCUGAGAGGACGACCAGCCACACUGGGACUGAGACCCCGCCCAGAGUCCUACGGGAGGCAGCAGUGGGGAAUUUUGGACAAUGGGGGCAACCCUGAUCCAGCCAUGCCGCGGGCGGGAAGAAGGCCUUCGGGUUGGAAACCGCUUUUGUUCGGGGAGAAAUCCUCCGGGCUAAUACCCCGGGGGGAUGACGGUACCGGAAGAAUAAGCACCGGCUAACUACGUG